CAGGAACCACCAAGGGCAAGAAUUCUCACAGUCACAAUGGUUCCCCACCACCACUGACACCACCCCCUCCCCAAUGAGGGAAGGCUAAGGCAGGAGCAUUUGUAGAGCAUUCUGCUGUUCCACAGGUACAGCAUCCAUCCCUCACCCCAUUCUGUGUAGGCUAGGAAGGAGGCUCAACCCAUUACCAACAUCAGUGACCAGAAUAUUUCUGGCUGUUCUUGUGUGGAGUAAUUUAUUCACCUGUUCCAGGAGGCACGAGGGAAGAGGUUGAAUAGGCAGGGGGAGCCUGCUAGCGUCUGACUCUGAGAGGAAAAAAUGGAUGCCGGAGGAAAAAGCCAGGGCAAGGACAACAACGGAGGAGAAGGCUGCAGCAGAAUGGCGAAGAGCUGUGGAGCAGAACAGUACAGCUACCCGUCUGGACAUCAUAAUCAUCAACUGAUAUUAUUAUCCUUUUUCUUCUGUUCAACUCAAUUGUUCAC
Long non-coding RNA from Rhineura floridana, 479 nucleotides. RefSeq lists it as uncharacterized. Lineage: Eukaryota; Metazoa; Chordata; Lepidosauria; Squamata; Rhineuridae. The transcript has 4 exons. The record is from RefSeq and is a predicted model, not a curated record.